Molecule: long non-coding RNA, 373 nt
Organism: Xenia sp. Carnegie-2017
Lineage: Eukaryota; Metazoa; Cnidaria; Anthozoa; Malacalcyonacea; Xeniidae
Exons: 2
Source: RefSeq, a predicted model, not a curated record
AGGUGUAAUACAAGGACCAACAGAGAAUGUUAGAAGAGUACUCUAAUGAAUGUUAGUGACGAGGUGUAAUACAAGGACCAACAGAGAAUGUUAGAAGAGUACUCUAAUGAAUGUUAGUGACGAGGUGUAAUACAAGGACCAACAGAGAAUGUUAGAAGAGUACUCUAAUGAAUGUUAGUGACGAGGUGUAAAACAAGGACCAACAGAGAAUACGGCUUUUCUGUGAGAUUGUAGAAUGAUUUAAUUGUUCACAUUCAUUCAGAGGUAGAUACUUUCGAUUAUUUUAUGUGUUAACUGUAUGUAUGUGUAACUAAACACGAAAAAAUUGUGAACAAUUUUAGUUUGCUGAAUAAAUAUAUAUAAAGACUUUUUA